CGAUUGCGAAGGCAGCUCACAAAGCUAAUAUUGACGCUGAUGCACGAAAGUGUGGGGAUCAAACAGGAUUAGAUACCCUGGUAGUCCACACUGUAAACGAUGAUAACUCGCUGUCGGCGAUACACAGUCGGUGGCCAAGCGAAAGCGAUAAGUUAUCCACCUGGGGAGUACGACCGCAAGGUUGAAACUCAAAGGAAUUGACGGGGGCCCGCACAAGCGGAGGAACAUGUGGUUUAAUUCGAUGAUACGCGAGGAACCUUACCCGGGCUCGAACGGUGCAUGAAUAGAUCAGAGAUGGUUUAGUCCUUCGGGACAUGUAUCGAGGUGCUGCAUGGUUGUCGUCAGCUCGUGCCGUGAGGUGUCGGCUUAAGUGCCAUAACGAGCGCAACCCUUGUCGUUAGUUGCCAUCAGGUAAUGCUGGGAACUCUAGCGAGACUGCCACCGUAAGGUGCGAGGAAGGGGGGGAUGACGUCAAAUCAGCACGGCCCUUACGUCCGGGGCGACACACGUGUUACAAUGGCAGGUACAGAGGGCAGCUACCCAGCGAUGGGGUGCGAAUCUCGAAAGCCUGUCUCAGUUCGGAUCGGAGUCUGCAACUCGACUCCGUGAAGUUGGAUUCGCUAGUAAUCGCGCAUCAGCCAUGGCGCGGUGAAUACGUUCCCGGGCCUUGUACACACCGCCCGUCAAGCCAUGGAAGCUGGGGGUGCCUGAAGUUCGUUACCGCAAGGAGCGACCUAGGGCAAAACUGGUAACUGAGGCUAAGUCGUAACAAGGUAGCCGUACCGGAAGGUGUGGCUGGAUCACCUCCUU
This 810-nucleotide ribosomal RNA is filed under the name uncultured bacterium. RNAcentral describes it as "bacterial SSU rRNA". It matches the Rfam family "Bacterial small subunit ribosomal RNA", at positions 710 to 1532 of the family's 1533-position model. The record is from RNAcentral.